Molecule: long non-coding RNA, 638 nt
Organism: Symphalangus syndactylus (siamang)
Lineage: Eukaryota; Metazoa; Chordata; Mammalia; Primates; Hylobatidae
Source: RefSeq, a predicted model, not a curated record
AUUCUAAAGGGCAGUUGCUAAGUUGCUUUCCAAGAGACCGGGCCCUGCUGACCAGAGGAGCCCAGGCUUCUCUGAGCACAUGGUGCAGCACAAUCUCAGGGCAAGCAGAGGUCUAGAGAGUUCAUGCCCUUAGAAGCAGACCUGGACAAUGAUGUACAGUGAGACAUCAACCAGUUCUGCUUGUGAAGCAGCUCAAACCAAGACAACAGGUCCAGUGCUUGGCAGGACCAUGACCGGUGCACUGUCUUCCUGGUCAUGCUCUGAUUGGAGGAUUAUCCUUGGCCAGUGGUUCUCACCAGGAAAAGUGUGCUCUCCUGGGUCCCCUGCAAACCAACAAGGUGCCCGAAGAUGGUGUAAAAACACAGAUUUGUCCCACCUGGUUUCACCCCACUUUCCUCUCUGGUCCCAGACCUCAGGGUCUGGACAUUUCUGCCAGGGAACAUCUGUUCUGCAGAGCAGCCGGGACUCCCCCUGCCACCCCCCACCAAGGAGUGGUUCUAAGUUAGCUUCUCACAUGGAAGAAAAGCAGCUGUCACUGAAGCCACGUCAAUCUGAGCGGUAAAAGGUUUGGGCAAAAACAUAUUUUAUUGUUCUUGCUGUCAGAAACAUAAAGAUUGAAGGGGCAUGUGACUCGGUAA